Molecule: non-coding RNA, 234 nt
Organism: Vicia faba (fava bean)
Lineage: Eukaryota; Viridiplantae; Streptophyta; Magnoliopsida; Fabales; Fabaceae
Source: the annotation of a GenBank genome assembly
AUGGGUGUGACUGAAGGAAGUAUGAAGGGUUGCGGAUUCACGUGUGUUGAGUUGGUUAUUUUAGAUGCAGGUUUUUGGACUGGUGUGGACAGGUACAGUAGGGCUGGAAAUUGGGCGAUAGGCUGUUUGACAUCUUGCAACAGGUUUAGGGCAGCAGCAGGACUCUUUUCUUGGUCUGAUUUGAUGCAGGGUUUUGCUGGCUGGUGGAGCAGCAUUGUAGUAGGUUUUUCGUAG